Molecule: ribosomal RNA, 611 nt
Filed under: uncultured prokaryote
Description: bacterial SSU rRNA
Rfam family: Bacterial small subunit ribosomal RNA
Source: RNAcentral
GAUGAACGCUGACAGAAUGCUUAACACAUGCAAGUCGAUUCAAGUUACCUUUGGGUAAUGAGGAUGGCGGACGGGUGAGUAACGCGUAAGGAACUUGCCUCUUGGUCUGGGACAACUGUUGGAAACGACAGCUAAUACCGGAUAUUAUGAGAUUCUCGCAUGGGAAACUUAUGAAAGCUAUAUGCGCCAAGAGAGAGCCUUGCGUUCCAUUAGCUAGUUGGUGGGGUAACGGCCCACCAAGGCGACGAUGGAUAGCCGGCCUGAGAGGGUGAACGGCCACAAGGGGACUGAGACACGGCCCUUACUCCUACGGGAGGCAGCAGUGGGGAAUAUUGNNNNNUGGGNNACAAGCCUGAUCCAGCAAUUCUGUGUGCACGAUGAAGGUCUUCGGAUUGUAAAGUGCUUUCAGUUGGGAAGAAGAAAGUGACGGUACCAACAGAAGAAGCGACGGCUAAAUACGUGCCAGCAGCCGCGGUAAUACGUAUGUCGCAAGCGUUAUCCGGAUUUAUUGGGCGUAAAGCGCGUCUAGGCGGAAAAAUAAGUCUGAUGUUAAAAUGCGGGGCUCAACUCCGUAUUGCGUUGGAAACUGUUUUUCUAGAGUACUGGNAGAG